UACGAAGGGGGCUAGCGUUGCUCGGAAUCACUGGGCGUAAAGGGCGCGUAGGCGGGUCUUUAAGUCAGGGGUGAAAUCCUGGAGCUCAACUCCAGAACUGCCUUUGAUACUGAAGAUCUUGAGUUCGGGAGAGGUGAGUGGAACUGCGAGUGUAGAGGUGAAAUUCGUAGAUAUUCGCAAGAACACCAGUGGCGAAGGCGGCUCACUGGCCCGAUACUGACGCUGAUGCACGAAAGCGUGGGGAGCAAACAGG
This 253-nucleotide ribosomal RNA is filed under the name uncultured bacterium. RNAcentral describes it as "partial 16S ribosomal RNA". It matches the Rfam family "Bacterial small subunit ribosomal RNA", at positions 524 to 776 of the family's 1533-position model. The record is from RNAcentral.